GACGAACGCUGGCGGCGCGCCUAACACAUGCAAGUCGAACGGAGUUGCAUUGAAAGCUUUGCUGGAUAUGUAACUUAGUGGCGGACGGGUGAGUAACACGUGAGUAAUCUGCCUUCCAGAGGGGAAUAACGUUUGGAAACGAACGCUAAUACCGCAUAACGUGCGGUCCUCGCAUGGGGACUGUACCAAAGAUUUUAUCGCUGGAAGAUGAGCUCGCGGCCGAUUAGGUAGUUGGUGAGAUAACAGCCCACCAAGCCGACGAUCGGUAGCCGGACUGAGAGGUUGAUCGGCCACAUUGGACUGAGACACGGCCCAG
Molecule: ribosomal RNA, 316 nt
Filed under: uncultured bacterium
Lineage: Bacteria
Description: bacterial SSU rRNA
Rfam family: Bacterial small subunit ribosomal RNA
Source: RNAcentral